GGUGUGACUGCGUACCUUUUGUAUAAUGGGUCAGCGACUUAUAUUCUGUAGCAAGGUUAACCGUAUAGGGGAGCCGGAGGGAAACCGAGUCUUAACCGGGCGUUAAGUUGCAGGGUAUAGACCCGAAACCCGGUGAUCUAGCCAUGGGCAGGUUGAAGGUUGGGUAACACUAACUGGAGGACCGAACCGACUAAUGUUGAAAAAUUAGCGGAUGACCUGUGGCUGGGGGUGAAAGGCCAAUCAAACCGGGAGAUAGCUGGUUCUCCCCGAAAGCUAUUUAGGUAGCGCCUCGUGAAUUCAUCUCCGGGGGUAGAGCACUGUUUCGGCUAGGGGGCCAUCCCGGCUUACCAACCCGAUGCAAACUGCGAAUACCGGAGAAUGUUAUCACGGGAGACACACGGCGGGUGCUAACGUCCGUCGUGAAGAGGGAAACAACCCAGACCGCCAGCUAAGGUCCCAAAGUCAUGGUUAAGUGGGAAACGAUGUGGGAAGGCCCAGACAGCCAGGAUGUUGGCUUAGAAGCAGCCAUCAUUUAAAGAAAGCGUAAUAGCUCACUGGUCGAGUCGGCCUGCGCGGAAGAUGUAACGGGGCUAAACCAUGCACCGAAGCUGCGGCAGCGAACGUAUCACCCAAGACAACUUUACGGAGUUGACGAUUGACGGAGCGAAGCGACGUCAAAGCGUUCAUUAAAGUCGAGUUGGCUUAGGGAUACGUUCGUUGGGUAGGGGAGCGUUCUGUAAGCCUGUGAAGGUGUGUCGUGAGGCAUGCUGGAGGUAUCAGAAGUGCGAAUGCUGACAUAAGUAACGAUAAAGCGGGUGAAAAGCCCGCUCGCCGGAAGACCAAGGGUUCCUGUCCAACGUUAAUCGGGGCAGGGUGAGUCGACCCCUAAGGCGAGGCCGAAAGGCGUAGUCGAUGGGAAACGGGUUAAUAUUCCCGUACUUGGUGUUACUGCGAAGGGGGGACGGAGAAGGCUAUGUUGGCCGGGCGACGGUUGUCCCGGUUUAAGCGUGUAGGUGUGUGUUCCAGGUAAAUCCGGUUCACUUUAACACUGAGGCGUGACGACGAGGCACUACGGUGCUGAAGCAACAAAUGCCCUGCUUCCAGGAAAAGCCUCUAAGCAUCAGGUAACACGAAAUCGUACCCCAAACCGACACAGGUGGUCAGGUAGAGAAUACCAAGGCGCUUGAGAGAACUCGGGUGAAGGAACUAGGCAAAAUGGUGCCGUAACUUCGGGAGAAGGCACGCUGACACGUAGGUGAAGUGAUUUACUCAUGGAGCUGAAGUCAGUCGAAGAUACCAGCUGGCUGCAACUGUUUAUUAAAAACACAGCACUGUGCAAACACGAAAGUGGACGUAUACGGUGUGACGCCUGCCCGGUGCCGGAA
RNAcentral lists this ribosomal RNA (1385 nucleotides) under Salmonella enterica subsp. enterica serovar Typhimurium. Its description in RNAcentral is "partial 23S ribosomal RNA". It matches the Rfam family "Bacterial large subunit ribosomal RNA", at positions 590 to 1874 of the family's 2925-position model. Lineage: Bacteria; Pseudomonadati; Pseudomonadota; Gammaproteobacteria; Enterobacterales; Enterobacteriaceae. The record is from RNAcentral.